RNAcentral lists this ribosomal RNA (407 nucleotides) under uncultured bacterium. Its description in RNAcentral is "partial 16S ribosomal RNA". It matches the Rfam family "Bacterial small subunit ribosomal RNA", at positions 28 to 526 of the family's 1533-position model. The record is from RNAcentral.
GACGACCGCUGGCGGCGUGCCUAAUACAUGCAAGUAGAACGCAGUGGCGAACGGGUGAGUAACGCGUAGGUAACUGCCUUAUAGAGGGGGAUAACUAUUGGAAACGAUAGCAAAUACCUAAUACUGGGAGAUGGACCUGCGUGGUAUUGGGUAGUUGGUGCGGUAAAGGCUCACCAAGGCGACGAGACAUAGCCGACCUGAGAGGGUGAAUGGGCAAACUGGGACUGAUGCAAUGGCCAGACUCCUACGGGAGGCAGCAGUAGGGAAUUUUCGGCAAUGGACGGAAGUUUGACCGGGCAACUCCGGGUGAGUGAAGAAGGUUUUCGGGUCGUACAGCUCUGUUGUUAGAGAAGCGGUAACUAACCAGAAAGGGACGGCUAACUACGUGCCAGCAGCCGCGGUAAUUC